This 4552-nucleotide long non-coding RNA is filed under the name Homo sapiens (human). RNAcentral describes it as "long independently transcribed non-coding RNA 2955, transcript variant 16 (LINC02955)". Lineage: Eukaryota; Metazoa; Chordata; Mammalia; Primates; Hominidae. The record is from RNAcentral.
ACACGCUUCCCCACUGAGGGAAGACCAUGUGACUAUACAACAGGAAGGUAGUUGUUUACAAGCCAGGAAGAGAGCCCUCACCAGAAACCAAAUUGGCUGGCGCCUUGAUCAUGGACUCCUGGGCUCCGGAACUGUAAGAAAAUUUGUGUUGUGGAAGCCACCCAGCCCAUGGUAUUUCGUUAUGGCAGCCUGAGCAGAGGUGGUAGCUAUGUGGACAGUUUUUGGACUUCUCUAUUGUUGCCCUUCAUCACUCAGCAGUGAAGAAUGAAAAUCAACAGAGCUUUCCCCAGCCUGCUGCUUAAGCAGCUGCUAGCAGGCUGAGGCUGCCCAGCCUCAUUAACCCAUUAGAUGCUGCGUUCGCCCGGGAGUCAUUCUUAAUGAGGCUGCUGCAGAUGAGAAAACAGAAGCAAAGGCAGAAAGAUGCUACAUUGCCAGCUUUGAAGAUGGAGGGAAGAGGUCACAAACCAAGGAAGGCAAUGAGGACGUUGCACAAGACAGUCCCUGAUACCCAGAGUUUACUGCCUAAGAGAGGAUACAUCCUUCAAACCAAUAAUCUGCUAAUAGCAAGAUCCAAUAGCUUCAUGGAUAUUGAAAGAAACUGAGAAUCAAAUUUGCAUACUUCUGAGUCACUUGGAAACAAAAAACAAGUACAGUCUUAGAUUCUGAGGGAACAAAAAUUAAAAAUCACAUUAGGAAGAGAAUUCCUAAUGUAGGAACUCAUCCUGGAAGAUUCUUCAGCAAAAGUACAGACAAUAAUAAUAAUACUCCAUGAAGUUACCAUCGAUAUUGAAUGAAUUAAUGAAUGUAAAAACCUCAAAACCCUGCCUGGCCCAGAGCUUUGGAAUGGGUUUGGAUCUACCACUCAACUGCUUUAUGACUUCAGACCAGUUAUUUAAAUUCCCUGAAGCUCAGUUUCCACAUCUUUGAGUUUUUAUUAAUGACCUGCCGACAUCAUACAGUUCAUGAAAUGCUCUGGAUGUGUACAUGCUGAUGAUACGACCUCAGACCCAGCAAGAGCUCAGUGCAGCCCGGAGAGCUGUGAGCAGUGCCACAGGAGGAGAUGACUGGUGAGUGAAAUAAGCAAGAUAGGAGUUGAAGUGUACAUGAAGCAGAGUCCAAGCCUUCUCCUUCUGGAUGUUCAGCUGGAUCAUCCUGACUGCUCCCACUUUCAUCUUGGCUUUCAAAGGGCUAUAUGGAUGUGCUCUACUUGUUGGAGGAUUGUCCAUCCACUCUUCUUCCUGUACUUACCAGGACAGAACAGCCGCAACUUCUCAGACAGUUCAUUCUUCUUUUCCUCACCUACUACCAUCUAAGAAAGGUACUUGAUGACUGUGGCUUUAGACAAGAGUCCUUUUCUUACCACAGGGUGGGCAGCACCAGCUCAUUAGAACCAUUUGUGUGACUGACUGAAGACAGCUCACCUUGGAACACUGCAGGUUGAAGAUCAUCUCUUCUUUUUUUCAUGGUGUUAAGCAUGCCUCCAAAGAAGUCUACAAAUUCCAUCAGUCAGUAACGGCUUGGAGUUCCAAAGCUUAUGACUCAAAGGUGAUCAGAGCAUGGACCUGGGGCUAGUCUGGAUUGGUAACUGCUAAACUUGGAUACAUGGCUUCUGAUGGCCCUGCUGGGGAGACCAUGUGGAGAGAUGGCAUAGAGCCAGAGAUUCACGUUCCAGGAGCCCUGACUGUCUCAUCUCAGGGAAUUGAAUCUCCUUGUGCUCCAGACCCUAUGAGAGGAUGCCAUCCCCUGCUACCAUCUGACUGCAACCUCAGGAGACACCCCAAGCCAGAACUGAGCAGCCAAGCCACUCUCAUAUUCUUGACCCAUAGACAUUGGGAGAUAAAAACUGAUUGUUGUCAAUUUUAGUCAGUACAUUUUAGGGCAAUUUGAUGUCCUAGCAAUAGACUAGUAUAUUUAUCCAUUGCUGCAUCUUCUUCUGCUUAGAUUAUGAUGCAUGUUUUUUAGCUCCAACUAGUAUCUAAACUUGUCAUGGUCUUUGCUUGAAAGUUUGAUUUUUUGCUGCCCUUGAACUUUACCCCUGAUUCCAAUUUACCCAUUUGUUUUGGUUUAGUUUAAGGAGAUUGUAAACAAGUAUGCCUACAAGGGCCAUGCAACAAAUGCUAAAAAGAGAAGUAGACCUGGGCAGGGAGGCAAGGGAGCGGAAAGAUGUGUAGUACGUUCAGCUCAGGUCACGUUCAUCAUCCAGCUCUGGAAGAUGGAUCCAGUGGGCAUGUGUGCCUAAUGAUGCCACAUUAUCUGAUUUUUUUCUCCAAAAGAAAAAUCAAGAUUUUUAUUAAAAAUCUUCUGGUUUAAAAAAAUUUAAAUGCUAUUCAAAUUUCAAUAACAACCAUGCCAGAUAAAAAAUAGCUACUGACUGAACUUAGCCAUGAUCUGCCAACUUGCAACCUCCAAAUUAGAAGUUUUUAGCCACUAUGGAUGUUAGGAAGACCUGAAACACAGAAUAGAGAGAUUCCAAUUUUUCUAGUGACAAUGAGUCCUGAGAAAGGUGACAAAAUCAGAAUAACCUUUGGAGAAAGAUAAAUGCUACUAUCAGUGGAAUGGGAUUCAGUCUUCAGCCUGUUGUAGUAAUUCAGUAAGCACAUGUGGUCAUUGAGUGAACUCGCAUGGCCAAUACAAGGUAAGCUUGGCGGUUCCUUCUAUGUCAAACGUUCUAUUUAAAUAGAGAGAAAAGAGGAGUAAUAAUUGUUAAAACCCUUUUGCAGUUUUAAAAAGGCAUAUAAAUAGUAAAGGACCAGUUACCUUGCUUGAGAAAUUUGUACAGUACCUAGUUGUUCCUGAAAGAGUGUACUGACAGGAGCUGAAAAGCCUACCUGGAAGAGAAUAUGGUCCCAAAUUCCAAAGGCAGAAAGGAACACAGGUUAAAUAGAAGGAGCAGUAACAACCCAGACCAGAGAAGCCAGGCAAAGCCUUGGAGACUAGGUAUACAUAGGAGAUAGCAGUUCUCAAUUCCCAUUCCCUUUGUGCCAAGCACAGGCACCGUGAUCCUUCACUGAAGCUCAGUGAACACUGUUCUCAGAGAGAGGUCCUGUCAGCAUCCACCUACCGAACCAUCAAAUGUGUAUCUGUCUCAGUUCUGCUUGGGAGCCUGAUACAGAUCUUUCCAUCACUCAUGAAGGCCCUAGAAUGCAUCCUCUUUUUUUUUUUUUCCUUCUGGAAAAUAUCAACCAGUUUUGGUAGAUUUUACCUUUCCAUUCUCUGUGUCCCUCCAUUAUUUUGGUCAACUCACCUCUGAAAACAGCAAAGCCUCUCAGGUCUACCGUGGGACACGCAGAAUUACAAGCUGAGCUACCCUCUGGGAUGGAAGCAGGGGUCUGGGAGGGUGGCACUAACGCUUAAUAUUAUUGAGUUAAAAUCUCAAUAAAUUAUCCCAGUAAAUCAUACAAUCAGAAAGACAAAGUCCUUGCCAAUAAAUAUGCACAACUCUCUGCCUAGAGACAAACCCACCUUGAGUUCACUCACGCAACCCAAUACCCAUAAACUACUCUCCAUAAAGCAAUGGAAAAGAGGAGCUGAGGUUAACAAAGUUCUUUCAGCCUACCCACGUAGGCUGACAUUUAUCUGCAUGCAUAGAACUCACAACAUUUAUUGUAGCAGAGUACAUAUUUCAGAAAACUGAUUUUGCUUUUUCCUAUAGCUGAUAACCUGGAAAAUACAGUCAUCUGUACUCUGUCUCCCAGGCGAUAGUGCAAAUCAGUAAAGAGUUUCCAUUGAUGGUUCUUUUGCAGACUCUAACCACAAUUGAACUCUCUGCUUUCCAUCAGUCGCCCACCCUGUUGUGUACAAAGAAGCAGAUAUGCAAUAUAGCAGGAGCCCCAAGAAAAGGUCUGGCUGUUCUGUCAAAACUAUUUAGUUCAAUAUUGUUCUCAAUGUGGCACCAUAGCCCUGGACAUGACACCCAGCACGUCCAAACAGACAUGAUUAUAUAUGAGACAGAAAGGCACUUACAUCACUGCGGGUUGUUAUGCUUUAAAGGGCUUUUUCCCCCCUCUUCAAAUUAAAAGUUUUCAAAAAUGAAAUAAAAAUAAACCUUUGAAGAAACCAGAUUGAGACUGAAUUUGGAAGGCCCUCCUGCCUAGUGUAUACUAAAGAAACAUUUUCUGGGUUUGUCCCUGAUGAUUUUCCUUGUAGUUGAGAAACACAAUCCACUGGAAGCUUUUGUGGCAGAACAAGAAUUUUAUGAACACGAACUUUACAAAGACUUCCCUAGGAGAUUUAAGGUCUGGAAAUCAAUAGAUCAAUCAGCAGCUUUUAUCAAUCUAUAAUGGUUCUCUCUCUUUGGAUGUUUGGAUGAAAAUGGGAUCAACGUAAAUUGAACAUGGAAUCACUUAUUCUUACAAGUUAAAUUUGUCAAACUGUAAGGCACAUAAAUGACAUGAAAUGUAAUCAUUUUUGAAUUUGGGACCCUACAGGGUGCACGUUGAUUGAAGAAAAAACAAGCAGAUGUUGCUUCAGCAUAACUCAUAGAGGCAAUCUAAAUGUUCUUCAAUCCCUGACACUUCUGAUCGUUUCCCAAAUAAACCAGUUCAUUAGUUAA